UACGGAGGGUGCAAACGUUGCUCGGAAUCAUUGGGCGUAAAGCGCACGUAGGCGGAUUGUUAAGUCGGAUGUGAAAGCCCUCAGCUUAACUGAGGAAGUGCACUCGAAACUGGCAGUCUUGAGUAUGGAAGAGGGUCGCGGAAUUCCCGGUGUAGAGGUGAAAUUCGUAGAUAUCGGGAGGAACACCAGUGGCGAAGGCGGCGACCUGGGCCAAUACUGACGCUGAGGUGCGAAAGCGUGGGGAGCAAACAGG
This 253-nucleotide ribosomal RNA is filed under the name uncultured bacterium. RNAcentral's name for it is "partial 16S ribosomal RNA". It matches the Rfam family "Bacterial small subunit ribosomal RNA", at positions 524 to 776 of the family's 1533-position model. The record is from RNAcentral.